Long non-coding RNA from Chelonia mydas (Green sea turtle), 2268 nucleotides. RefSeq lists it as uncharacterized. NCBI's taxonomy places the organism in Eukaryota, Metazoa, Chordata, Testudines, Cheloniidae. The transcript is spliced from 2 exons. The record is from RefSeq and is a predicted model, not a curated record.
GGGCCGCUGGCGGCUCGGGCCGGGCGUCGGCUGCGGCCUGCGCGUGUCUGGCCCGCCCGGCCCGGCGUGACCAGGCCGCGGGGGGCGACGGGGCCCGGCCCGGCGAGUCCUUGGGCAGGACCUUGGGCCGGGGCGGCGGGCGGGAGCUGGGGGUGCCGCCGCCCCCCACCCCGCUCCUGGCUCCCGGAGCCCCUCGGGCGCUGCGCCCGCCGGGGGGGGGUCCCCUGACCGGGCUUGGGGGUAGGUGGGGUCUCGGACCCCGACGCCUUGGUGGGGGCGAGUGGGGGGGGCUGCCCCCUCAGCGCUGGGGGGGGCCCGGCUUUGUUCAGAGGCCGCCCCCCCGCAGCACCCGAGUGCUGUUAAACCGAUUGCAAACAGCACGAAGUCUCCGGGUGCGGGGGCGCGGGUGAAAUGGCAUCGCAGCCCCGCCGGCCAGGGCACGCCAGACAGGCCUUCCCCGGCUCCUGGCGCUGGGCCUGGAUCGCAGGUUCCCGGGAGACCUUCUGGUGAAUGGGAAGAGAUGGGGGAAGUGGAGCCCUGCCUUCAUCCAGGCUGGCAGCUCGGCUGCUCCUAGGAGGUGUCGGUCUGUUGGCAGUUCCCAGGCUGGGCCGGGCCGGGAACCUCCCUGGAAAACGGGGCUUCUGUGUAUUUGUUGCUGGGGCCCUUGACAGUUCGUUCUCUUUGUUUUCGCAACUGUAGCAGCGGUGUCCCCGCCUGUCCUUUCCCCUCUUUCCAACGUCCUAAAACAGAUUUAGGGUGGGGUUUUCAAAUGACCCUAAAGGAGUUAGGCACCAAAUGCCCGUUUCUAUGGGAUUUGCGCAUCAAACUCCUUAAGCCUGGUCUAUGCUAGGAAAUUAGCUUGUUAUAACUGCAUCUCUUGGGGGCUCUGUCGACCUAGCUACUGUCUGUCCGGGAGGUGGACUACCCUCCCUGCCUCGCGAACCCCUCCUGUAGGUGUAGGUAGCAUCUUCUCUGCAGCAGUAGCACGGCACAGCUGCGCACUGGUUUAUGUGUAGACAUAUCCUUAUUUUCCUUUGAAAAUCCGAGCCCUGUAACUUUCCCAAAUGAAUGUGAUGAUCCAUAAUAUUGAUGCUACAGUGUUUUCAAGAUUGCAAGCCAUUUCAGCCCCCCCCCCCCCCCCCCCACUGAGAUGUCCUAUUAUUGUUUAAAUGUCACUUGUUUCUUUCAUACUUUUUUUAAUUGGGUGAGUGGUGUGUGAAAAGUAAGAGAAUUCUUCUGAGAUGGUGUAUAUUCAUAAACUCUGGAAGGCUUUGUGCCAGGAUCAUGGACGGGACAGCUACAACAGAAAACACCGAACCAUACAAGAUGGAAAAUGCAAUUACUAUUUUCAAGUUUUCCCUUCGUUUUGCAGUCAUGCCUGUAAAAUCAAGGAAGACAUUAAUACAAUAGCUUUUAGGAUGUAUGUUGGAUAAUUCUAUGUAGAGUAAAAGAAGUUUUAAAGCUGCUAGUAACAAUAUUUUGAGUGUGAUUAGAUGCAGCUUGUAAGUAUUUGUGGAAUGUUUACCCAAACACUAUAAUUGUACGCUUUCCAAAAAUGAACUUUCAGCAAAGUAGGCCAGGCCAGUGAUAACAUUUGUAAGGAUAAAGUUAAUACCAUUAUUUCUGAAGAUCUGCGCAAUUUUUGUACUUUUCUAAAAUCUUUUGAAUUUCUCCUUUCAAAGAAAUUGCUUCACCAACUUUUUGACGGUGCAGAGAGAUGUGAAACCAUACUUUUGCCAUACCAAUUUAACCUGCCAAUACGCUUAAUCUCCAUAAUGACAGGUUUCAGAGUAGCAGCCGUGUUAGUCUGUAUUCGCAAAAAGAAAAGGAGUACUUGUGGCACCUUAGAGACUAACUAAUUUAUUUGAGCAUAAGCUUUCGUGAGCUACAGCUCACUUCAUCGGAUGCUCAAAUAAAUUUGUUAGUCUCUAAGGUGCCACAAGUACUCCUUAAUCUCCAUACUAUAUCAAUAUUAUUGAUGAUACAUUUUUAAAAAUUAGAAGCAAGGGAGAAGUCUUAGUUUGAGCCUUUUCUUUUUGUUGUGUCCCAUGGUGUGACUUCGCUUCAGAGAAUUUUCUUAUAUUGCUUUGAUAAGCAUUUUGGACACGUUUUCUAUCUAAAAAUUCUGUAAUCUGGUUGCCCAUUUCUUUAUCUUAAAAGAUCUUUAAUAUAUUGAUAUUCUACUUUUUUGGGCUGUAGUAUAGUUCAGCAAGGACCCUGACAUUAUUUAAAGCACUGUUUUCCGAUAUUAAACUUUAUAUAAUAGUA